UCGCUUUGGCAGCACAUAUCCUAAAAUUGGAAUGACACAGAGAGAUUAGGAUGGCUCCUGCGCAAGGAUGACAUCCAUUCUUUUUUAACUGUUUGGUAGAGUU
Pteropus vampyrus (large flying fox) is the source of this 103-nucleotide small nuclear RNA. The record is from Ensembl. Lineage: Eukaryota; Metazoa; Chordata; Mammalia; Chiroptera; Pteropodidae.